RNAcentral lists this long non-coding RNA (2514 nucleotides) under Equus asinus (donkey). RNAcentral's name for it is "lncRNA (ENSEASG00005028879.1)". The record is from RNAcentral. Lineage: Eukaryota; Metazoa; Chordata; Mammalia; Perissodactyla; Equidae.
GCAGGAGAUUUUUUAAUGCUCUCUAGGUGAUUCUGAUGUCAGCAAAGAUGGAGAACCACUGAUGUAGUCAAUGAGAAGUAAUAGGGGUUAUUUUUCAGAACAGCGUUUUGAGUUAAUUUGAAAGGAGGGAAAAUCUCAGGGCGAAGGUUAUUGUGGUGAGGUUAUAAGGUGAGGUCAAAGGUUAGCAAGGAGGUCUGGGUGGGCAUGGGGUCAGUUACACAGUAUGCUCUUAAAUGAUAGCGGGUAAAGUGAGCUGAACUUAAUCUGAAAAAAAAAAAAAAAGGAGUUCUGGCAUCCUAAGGUGGUGUUCAGCAAAGGGCAGUGUCAGGACAGUACCUCAGCUGAAGACCUUCAGGUCCAUGGAAGACAGUGCAUGGAUUAUUCUGAAGAAUGACUUUCCGACAAUCUGCCCCCAGCUGUGUGUUGCAAUGCGCGUGGCGGAGCUGCGCUUCCAAAGAGGCUGGCUCAGUGGGGCUGCGGUGAUGUCUCCUUCCAGGUCCCAGCAUGGAUGACCCUGUUCUUCUUGGAGAUUCUGCUGCUCUUUCCUGGAUCAUCUUGGAGAGGUUCCGUCGAGACUCCCUGGGCUCACUUGGAACUCAUUACCGAAUGUCUAUGCCUCCACGCCUGUCCCCUCAGCCCGCACAGACACAGAGCCAGCAGCCCAGAACUGCCAGCUGGCUCACCACCGAAAUGAGGGUGAGCACCGGGCUUUUCUUCAAAGCGCUCCACCUGGUUUUGCAAAUAACUAUUACAGACCUUUCCUGCAGCAAGUCUAGGGGAGACAAGUCAAACAACGGCAGCAGAUGUUCUCCAGCCUUCGAAACCAACGAGUCUCCACACUUGUCAGCUGACGUGGCUCACAGGGUCCAGGAUUAACAGCACAGGCCUCUGUGAUUUGUCUGGUGAAGUAACACGGCAGCUCACAGAGGUUUAAUCAUUGCCCACUGGCCCCACCAAAAUAGCACAGGAGAUUAUGAAACUCCUUAUGCUUCACAGAGUGACAGCUGUGUGGCCCUCGUAGACUCCUCUCCCUCGAGAUCCACUCAGGAGGACUCUGCUGGGCUGUUCUCACAGUCUCGGCGGCUUAGCCAAGGAAGAGCUUCAUUUCUCGGGGCUGGGCUCACACUAUGUGCAUCCCGAGCCCACUUCCUAGGCCUGAGGCCUUCCUGGCAGCUCCUCCUAACUGCCGGGCUGGCUGUUCUCAGGAAGGAGCCUACAGGGACACAUCUCAGCUGCACGUUCUCACAUAUGCCCAAGGCUGCCAAGCAGCGUCCAGUGAGCUGUGUGCUGGAGGCUGUGCCCAGGCUCCCCUGCCAAGCCCCCAGGCCCUUAAUGAGGGGUGGGACCCAUGGGAGUUGUUUGCAUUAGUCCAUGGCAGCAUCCUCAGCAGCCCACCAUGAACCUUUCCUGGGCCUGAGUUAACGACCUGCUAUGGCUCCCACUUGCCUCCCAGCCAGGCCAGUGGGUUCCUUCCCAGCACCAGCCUGCUCUGCAAUUCAGACCAGGGCACACUUCAACCCAGACACUCAAAGAUGCCCUCCUGAGUCGUGGCACCCAGGUUAGCAUAUGGUCCUCUAGAAAGGGGACUGGGAAACUGCCCAGCAUGGAGUCCAAAUUCAGCUAGUAAAGAUGGGAAGACAAUUUUCUUCUGGAUCCCGCUAUUGACUUCCUUCAGCAGUUCUCAGAAAACUACAGUUGGACAGAGAAGUGCCAGUUUCUGUCUGCCUUUGGACAGAACCUGCUAUACCUCUACUAAAUGACCAUCUGGCUCCAGACCCCUCAGGGUCAGCUGAUUCCCGUAAAUCCAUGGUCUUCCAUCAGGGAGGUUCAUGGGACUCCCCAUCAGGGAGGGGGAACGGGCUCCACCGGCCGAGAUUUGAGUUCGAUGAGUCUGGGUCAGGGUUGACACACAGUUCCUCACCCCCAUAACCCAAAGCCUUGAAUUUCAUAGACAUAAAGGAAAGACAGAAGGGAACUUGAGAAAUGAUCUCAGUUGACAGAAGACAGUCUCACCCGAUAGGGGACCAUCAGCUCACGGGUUUCAGCUAAAGAUCAGCAGAGGUGACAUGCUGCAGAGCCGAAUGGAGCAAGUAAUUGGCACUUCUCCGGCCUGCUUCAUCCUCUCCUUCGCUGGAGAGACAUCACUAGAUAUCAGGAAUCACUAGGCAGGAAUCUCCUCAUAAUUAGUCCCCAGGACAGCCAAGUUCUUGCCACCUGGGGAACAAAGGCAACCCCUGGGGUCUGUCAGGUGCAACUCACGGCCAGGACCUCAGUGGGAGGCUGGCUAGAGGCAGCCACCCCAAAGCCAGAGGACUCACCCCUCCUAAAGGGAUGCUGCGCUCAGUCCUGAUGGGGACGGGGGCAGGGGAUGUGUGCGGGGACAGCCUGACCAUAGCUCAGCAGGAAGCAAGCCAUGUAUUUAUUUAUGGUGAGGACCACAUUUCACCCUCGGUUUAGCUGGCUCCAAGCGAGCAGUGCAAUCUCAGCUCUGGGAGGAAGUUUGUGGUUCGCUUU